UGGCUCAGUGGUUAAGAGUACUGGGCUACUCUUCCAGAGGUCCUGAGUUCAAGUCUCAG
RNAcentral lists this transfer RNA (59 nucleotides) under Rattus norvegicus (Norway rat). It matches the Rfam family "tRNA", at positions 8 to 63 of the family's 71-position model. From Rfam's summary of the family: Transfer RNA (tRNA) molecules are approximately 80 nucleotides in length. Their secondary structure includes four short double-helical elements and three loops (D, anti-codon, and T loops). The record is from Rfam by way of RNAcentral. Lineage: Eukaryota; Metazoa; Chordata; Mammalia; Rodentia; Muridae.